ACUGGAGGACCGAACCGACUAAUGUUGAAAAAUUAGCGGAUGACCUGUGGCUGGGGGUGAAAGGCCAAUCAAACCGGGAGAUAGCUGGUUCUCCCCGAAAGCUAUUUAGGUAGCGCCUCGUGAAUUCAUCUCCGGGGGUAGAGCACUGUUUCGGCUAGGGGGCCAUCCCGGCUUACCAACCCGAUGCAAACUGCGAAUACCGGAGAAUGUUAUCACGGGAGACACACGGCGGGUGCUAACGUCCGUCGUGAAGAGGGAAACAACCCAGACCGCCAGCUAAGGUCCCAAAGUCAUGGUUAAGUGGGAAACGAUGUGGGAAGGCCCAGACAGCCAGGAUGUUGGCUUAGAAGCAGCCAUCAUUUAAAGAAAGCGUAAUAGCUCACUGGUCGAGUCGGCCUGCGCGGAAGAUGUAACGGGGCUAAACCAUGCACCGAAGCUGCGGCAGCGACACUGUGUGUUGUUGGGUAGGGGAGCGUUCUGUAAGCCUGUGAAGGU
RNAcentral lists this ribosomal RNA (495 nucleotides) under Salmonella enterica. RNAcentral's name for it is "partial 23S ribosomal RNA". It matches the Rfam family "Bacterial large subunit ribosomal RNA", at positions 765 to 1257 of the family's 2925-position model. The record is from RNAcentral. Lineage: Bacteria; Pseudomonadati; Pseudomonadota; Gammaproteobacteria; Enterobacterales; Enterobacteriaceae.